This is a long non-coding RNA of Xyrauchen texanus (razorback sucker), 352 nucleotides long. RefSeq lists it as uncharacterized. The record is from RefSeq and is a predicted model, not a curated record. Lineage: Eukaryota; Metazoa; Chordata; Actinopteri; Cypriniformes; Catostomidae. The transcript has 4 exons.
AAGGAAGAAUUUUUUUAAUUUGACGUUUACAGAGAUAAUGUUCCUUAAUUUUUGCUGUUUUCCAGUAUGCUCUACAUCUUGUCUUGGGAGCACCCUUUGAUUUUACAUCUUGCGACUUUCCAAACAUACAGAGAUGGUGGGCUCUUAUUCUUCUGGAGAACUUUGGGGUUUUCUCUGAAAGUGCAGAAACCCUACAAGAGUCCCUUCCAUGUGAAGAACAAGCUACGCUUAGCAGCAGUGAGGUGGAGCUCCCAAUAAUCCGGCACAUGAAAGAAGCUGUGAAAUGGCUCCAUUCCAACAGCCAUCUGCUCAGGGGUCUAGUAGAAGAGCCUCUUUUCAUUUGAAUGAAAAU